RNAcentral lists this ribosomal RNA (253 nucleotides) under uncultured bacterium. RNAcentral describes it as "partial 16S ribosomal RNA". It matches the Rfam family "Bacterial small subunit ribosomal RNA", at positions 524 to 776 of the family's 1533-position model. The record is from RNAcentral.
UACGAAGGGGGCUAGCGUUGUUCGGAAUUACUGGGCGUAAAGCGCACGUAGGCGGAUUUGUAAGUAGGGGGUGAAAUCCCCAGGCUCAACCUGGGAACUGCCUUCUAAACUGCAAGUCUGGAGAUCAGGAGAGGCGAGUGGAAUGCCGAGUGUAGAGGUGAAAUUCGUAGAUAUUCGGUGGAACACCAGUGGCGAAGGCGACUCGCUGGACUGAUACUGACGCUGAGGUGCGAAAGCGCGGGGAGCAAACAGG